This 834-nucleotide long non-coding RNA is filed under the name Homo sapiens (human). RNAcentral describes it as "long intergenic non-protein coding RNA 2654". Lineage: Eukaryota; Metazoa; Chordata; Mammalia; Primates; Hominidae. The record is from RNAcentral.
GGCUGCCAUCUUGGAAAGGAGGGCGACAAGCUUUGGAGGGUGGAGAAUAACCCAGUUGAAAAUCUACAAGCAAUGCUGUCCACAUCCCAAAUAGACUGGUCAAAAAGCCUUCAUCCCGUCAGUCACUGACAUCAACUUCAUCCAAAUCAGACUCCUAAAAACCCGGCCUAACUUAUGUGUCAUGCAAAGGAUGGCUCUUGGAAAAAUGCAAAGAGUGGUCAGGAGAAGAAACCAACAAGAAAUGUAACCUACCUCCAGAACUCAGGAACUCAGGUACCCUUAAGGAUAUCAGAAACAAUGAAAUAUGGAUUGGCAGAAGCAUCUUCACCACCAUCUUCAGAUGUAAUUAAUGCAGCUGUUGAAUUUGGUUGACUAUCCACCUAUAAUUACCACAUUGCCCAUUACAGAUUUUUGCUGCCUUUUCUUGCCUCCUUUUCAUUUUUACAUCCACUUAUUCCCUACAGAAAUGACAGAUAAUCAGCAUUUUUGUUUUCUUGUUAUGUUGUCCUGAUAGUACAGCUACAAAUGGAUUUGAUGUGCUGAAUAAUGGUCUACUAGGCCUAAAAAUGAAAGUCUAGACCCUUAGUCAAAAAUAACUUGGAUCUAUGUGGUACCAAGAAAAGAGGAAUUAUAAGAAAAAGAAUAUUAGUUUAAUGUUCUGUAAAUUUUUUUCUUAACCUAUUCUGUCCAGUAUUUACUACUUGGCUGCAUUCCUAAAACAUAAAUUUCACAGGGGCAGGAGUCUUUGUCCAUUUUGCUCAUUAAUGUGUUAGGAAUACUAAAAAGAGUGUCUAGCGGGGUAGUCACAUAAUAAAUACCUGUUGCAUGAACAAA